CGCGGCCUAUCAGCUUGUUGGUGUGGUAACGGCGCACCAAGGCGACGAUGGGUAGCUGGUCUGAGAGGAUGGUCAGCCACAUUGGGACUGAGACACUGCCCAAACUCCUACGGGAGGCUGCAGUCGAGAAUAUUUCGCAAUGGGGGAAACCCUGACGAUGCGACGCCGCGUGGGGGAUGAAGGCCUUCGGGUCGUAAACCUCUGUGUUACGGGAUGAACUGGACGUUGCUGAUAACGCAGCGUUCUUGACGUUACCGUAGUAGAAAGCCCCAGCUAACUACGUGCCAGCAGCUGCGGUAAUACGUAGGGGGCAAGCGUUGUCCGGAAUCACUGGGCGUAAAGCGCGCGCAGGCGGUAGGGUAAGUCAGACGUGAAAGGGUUCGGCUCAACCGAGCCAUUGCGUUUGAAACUGCUUUACUUGAGUCUAGAAGAGGAAAGUGGAAUGUAUGGUGUAGCGGUGGAAUGCUUAGAUAUCAUAUAGAACACCCGUGGCGAAGGCGGCUUUCUGGUCUAAGACUGACGCUCAUGCGCGAAAGUUUGGGGAGCAACCGGGAUUAGAUACCCCGCUAGUCCUUACUGUAAACGAUGGGUACUAAGUGUAGGGGGUGUUGAUUCCCUCUGUGCUGUAGCUAACGCAUUAAGUACCCCGCCUGGGGAGUACGG
RNAcentral lists this ribosomal RNA (663 nucleotides) under uncultured Actinomycetes bacterium. Its description in RNAcentral is "bacterial SSU rRNA". It matches the Rfam family "Bacterial small subunit ribosomal RNA", at positions 232 to 885 of the family's 1533-position model. Lineage: Bacteria; Bacillati; Actinomycetota; Actinomycetes. The record is from RNAcentral.